AUUUCAUCCUCCCAGCUGUGCAGCUUCUCUUCUAAAUGUUCUGGACGUGGCAUGACGAGCGCUUCCUCUACAUGCUCAUGGAGUACGUGCCGGGUGGCGAGCUCUUCAGCUACCUGCGCAACCGGGGGCGCUUCUCCAGCACCACGGGGCUCUUCUACUCUGCGGAGAUCAUCUGUGCCAUCGAGUACCUGCACUCCAAGGAGAUCGUCUACAGGGAUUUGAAGCCGGAGAACAUCCUGCUGGAUAGGGAUGGCCACAUCAAGCUCACGGACUUUGGGUUCGCCAAGAAGCUGGUAGACAGGACUUGGACCCUCUGUGGAACACCCGAGUACCUAGCCCCCGAAGUCAUUCAGAGCAAGGGCCACGGAAGGGCUGUGGACUGGUGGGCCCUCGGCAUCCUGAUAUUCGAGAUGCUUUCGGGGUUUCCUCCGUUUUUUGAUGACAACCCGUUUGGCAUUUAUCAGAAAAUUCUUGCAGGCAAAAUAGAUUUCCCCAGACAUUUGGAUUUCCACGUAAAAGACCUCAUUAAGAAACUGCUCGUGGUUGACAGAACAAGGCGAUUAGGAAACAUGAAGAACGGGGCGAAUGAUGUGAAACGUCAUCGGUGGUUCCGCUCCGUGGACUGGGAAGCUGUUCCGCAGAGAAAACUGAAGCCUCCCAUCGUGCCCA
Molecule: small RNA, 669 nt
Filed under: Pan troglodytes (chimpanzee)
Lineage: Eukaryota; Metazoa; Chordata; Mammalia; Primates; Hominidae
Description: processed transcript
Source: RNAcentral